RNAcentral lists this unclassified non-coding RNA (560 nucleotides) under Hevea brasiliensis (rubber tree). The record is from RNAcentral. Lineage: Eukaryota; Viridiplantae; Streptophyta; Magnoliopsida; Malpighiales; Euphorbiaceae.
UACUAUUGGACUUGGUGGUGGGGGUGGUGGUAGAGGAAAUGGUGGCGGGGGCGGUGCUGCUCAUGUUGGAGGAGCUAGUGGCUCUGGAUAUGGCACAGGCAGUGGUGAAGGAGGUGGUGCAGGAUAUGGUGGAGUUAUUGGACUUGGAGGUGGGGGUGGUGGCAGUGGCAAGGGAGGUGGUGGUGGUGCUACUCAUGCCGGAGAAACUAGUGGUGCUAGAUAUAGUAGUGGUGCUGGUGAAGGUGGUGGUGUUGGUGAAGGUGCUGCUAUAGGAAAUGAAGGUGGUGGGGGAGGAGGUAGCGGCGGGGGAGGUGGUGCAGGUUAUGCUGGAGGAGCAAGUGGUGCUGGAUAUGGUAAUACUGGAGGUGAAAGUGGUGGUGCAUUAGGACAUACCGGUAGUGGGGCUGGUGGUGGAGGUGGCAAUGGUGGUGGAAGUGGUGUAGGUUCUGCUGGAGGGGCUAGUGGUGUUGGACACGGCAGUGGUGGUGGUGAAGGAGGUGGUGCUGGAUAUGGUUCUGGAGGAGAAAAGGGAGCCAAUUAUGGUGGUGGUGGUGGUGGUA